UGUAACUUCUCCCCCAAGGACCCCUGUGCCUCUUUCUCCUCCAAAAUCCCUCUUCUCAUCCUCCUAAUACCUUCCCUUCUUGGUCUCCUAUUUCUCUUCCCCUCUGGUUCUCUCAGGCCCCCUUGGCCAGCUCUCCAUUGCCCCUCCCUUUCAGAAGCCCAAGUAAUUCCCACUCGCCUGGCCUUGGCCUCCUUCCCUGGUGUGGGUCUGCAAGCCCCAUCUCUCACCUGGGCCACCUUACAGACAAGAUUUGAGAGAUACCUUGGUUUUGCAGUUUUCACCUGUAGGACCUAACAGUGGCAUCUUUCUCCCUUCACAGUGUCUUACUGUCUGUCCCCUUCUAACCAGCCACUGCCAGGACCUCACCUUCAGUUCUUCCCCAGCCCAGCCUGCUUCCUUCUGACUGCAGGGGCUGAGUUAAUGCCAGCACUCACUAUGUGUUGUCACUGGGCUAAGGGCUAUGUAUGUUUUCCCACUAGUUACCAAGACAUUCUCAAAAAGUAGGAAUUGAAACUAGCCCAUUUUGCAGAUGCAGAAGCUGAGGCUGGGCUGAGAGCCCAGGGGUGGAACAGGUCAGAGCAAGGAACUGGUACUCUCAACCACAGGCUCUGCUGCACAGGUGGAUAUCCAGGGUGGAACUGACUGAGUGAGGAAUGACAGCGACUUUGGCAGAGAGGACUCUGCCCAGUUGAAAGGUAGGAAUGAUUCCAGGACCUCACAGAGUACACAAGCAUCAACUUACAGAGCAGCCCUGUGCCUAUGGCCUGAGUGAAACUCCUGCCCAAAGCCACUGGCAGUGAUAUAAGCGACUCCAUACUAGUAGGUGAUUUCCUGUGGGGAGGCAUCCUCAGGAAUAACAGCUUUUUCUAAGCUCUAUGCUUUGUGUAUUUUCUUGUCUUACGCCCUCACAAUUCCAUUCUCAUUUCAUAGGUGAAAAACUGGUCCCAAGAGGGGUCACCCAGCUGCUAUACAGAGGGUGUUGAGACCAGAACUGGUCUCUUCACUCCUCCUUCUCUGGCUUGCAUGCUCAUUUCACUCUCUUCCUAUGUCCGACCUACCUGUGUGCUACUACCAGGACUGCUGGAAUGUCGCAAGAGUUCCACUUCCAGCUCUCUUACUGAAGGUCAUCUGACAUGUGUGAACUAGAAAUUAUAUGGACUGUCGGUGUUCUAUUCAUUUCUGUAUCUUGCCCAGACCUACCACUCAGCCUGCCCUAGAGAGAAUGCAUGCUGAGUGAGGAGCAGAGAAAAAGAUUUAUAGUACCACAAGAAUUAUUUCAUGUUGCCAUUGCCUUCAACACCAUCUGAUACAAAAGGAAUUGACCACUGGGGAUUUAGCUCAGUGGUUCUGCUGCUUGCCUCACAAGCAUAAGGUCCUUUGAUCCCCGGUACCAAAAAAAAAAAAAGAAUCGACCUUCGGAAGAAUCUGCUAGAAGAAUAAUCUAGAGAUCAUUAUUUUUAAGUAGAAAAAGGUACUGAGAAACGAGAAAACCAAUAUGCAGUUACACACCACAUAAUGGAUCAGUGACAGACCACCUGCUCUAGGAUGUAUGCCAUUACAGCCUAGGUGUGUUAGUAAGCUGCACCAUCUUAGUUUGUAUAAAUACUCUGUGUGUUUCCACAAUGAUGAC
Molecule: long non-coding RNA, 1630 nt
Organism: Heterocephalus glaber (naked mole-rat)
Lineage: Eukaryota; Metazoa; Chordata; Mammalia; Rodentia; Bathyergidae
Source: Ensembl